GACGAACGCUGGCGGCGUGCCUAAUACAUGCAAGUCGAACGCAGUGGGGACGGGGGAGUAACACGUGGGUAACCUACCAUAAGAGGGGAUAACACUUGGAAACAGGUGCUAAACCGAUACUGAUGGAUGGACCCGCGGUGCAUUAGGUAGGUGGUGAGGUAACGGCUCACCAAGGCCACGAUGCAUAGACGACCUGAGAGGGUGAUCGGCCACACUGGGACGGGGACACGGCCCAGACUCCUACGGGAGGCAGCAGUAGGGAAGCUUCGGCAAUGGACGAAAGUCUGACCGAGCAACGCCGCGGGAGUGAAGAAGGUUUUCCGAUCGUAAAACUCUGUUGUGAGAGAAGCGGUAUCUAACCAGAAAGCCACGGCUAACUACGUGCCAGCAGCCGCGGUAAUUC
RNAcentral lists this ribosomal RNA (403 nucleotides) under uncultured bacterium. Its description in RNAcentral is "partial 16S ribosomal RNA". It matches the Rfam family "Bacterial small subunit ribosomal RNA", at positions 28 to 526 of the family's 1533-position model. The record is from RNAcentral.